CCUACGGGAGGCUGCAGUAGGGAAUAUUGCUCAAUGGGGGAAACCCUGAAGCAGCAACGCUGCGUGGAGGAUGAAGGUUUUCGGAUUGUAAACUCCUUUUGUUAGAGAAGAUAAUGACGGUAUCUAACGAAUAAGCACCGGCUAACUCCGUGCAAGCAGCCGCGGUAAUACGGAGGGUGCAAGCGUUACUCGGAAUCACUGGGCGUAAAGAGAGCGUAGGCGGGAUAGCAAGUCAGAUGUGAAAUCCUAUGGCUUAACCAUAGAACUGCAUUUGAAACUGUUAUUCUAGAGUAUGUGAGAGGUAGGUGGAAUUCUUGGUGUAGGGGUAAAAUCCGUAGAGAUCAAGAGGAAUACUCAUUGCGAAGGCGACCUGCUAGAACAUAACUGACGCUGAUGCGCGAAAGCGUGGGGAGCAAACAGGAUUAGAUACCCUUGUAGUC
This 440-nucleotide ribosomal RNA is filed under the name uncultured bacterium. RNAcentral's name for it is "partial 16S ribosomal RNA". It matches the Rfam family "Bacterial small subunit ribosomal RNA", at positions 338 to 795 of the family's 1533-position model. The record is from RNAcentral.